UGGGGAAUCUUGCGCAAUGGGCGAAAGCCUGACGCAGCCAUGCCACGUGAAUGAUGAAGGUCUUAGGAUUGUAAAAUUCUUUCACCGGGGACGAUAAUGACGGUACCCGGAGAAGAAGCCCCGGCUAACUUCGUGCCAGCAGCCGCGGUAAUACGAAGGGGGCUAUCGUUGCUCGGAAUUACUGGGCGUAAAGGGAGCGUAGGCGGACAUUUAAGUCAGGGGUGAAAUCCCGGGGCUCAACCUCGGAAUUGCCUUUGAUACUGGGUGUCUUGAGUAUGAGAGAGGUGUGUGGAACUCCGAGUGUAGAGGUGAAAUUCGUAGAUAUUCGGAAGAACACCAGUGGCGAAGGCGACACACUGGCUCAUUACUGACGCUGAGGCUCGAAAGCGUGGGGAGCAAACAGGAUUAGAUACCCUGGUAGUCCACGCCGUAAACGAUGAUUGCUAGUUGUCGGGAUGCAUGCAUUUCGGUGACGCAGCUAACGCAUUAAGCAAUCCGCCUGGGGAGUACGGUCGCAAGAUUA
Molecule: ribosomal RNA, 523 nt
Filed under: uncultured bacterium
Lineage: Bacteria
Description: bacterial SSU rRNA
Rfam family: Bacterial small subunit ribosomal RNA
Source: RNAcentral